CUAGCGUUGUUCGGAAUCACUGGGCGUAAAGCGUGCGUAGGCGGUGACUCAAGUCAGAGGUGAAAGCCUGGAGCUCAACUCCAGAACUGCCUUUGAAACUAGGUCGCUAGAACAUCGGAGAGGUGAGUGGAAUUCCGAGUGUAGAGGUGAAAUUCGUAGAUAUUCGGAAGAACACCAGUGGCGAAGGCGGCUCACUGGACGAUUGUUGACGCUGAGGCACGAAAGCGUGGGGAGCAAAACAGGAUUAGAUACCCUGGUAGUCCACGCCGUAAACGAUGAUAACUAGCUGCCGGGGCACUUGGUGUUUCGGUGGCGCAGCUAACGCAUUAAGUUAUCCGCCUGGGGAGUACGGUCGCAAGAUUAAAACUCAAAGGAAUUGACGGGGGCCUGCACAAGCGGUGGAGCAUGUGGUUUAAUUCGAAGCAACGCGCAGAACCUUACCAGCGUUUGACAUCCUGAUCGCGGAUAGUGGAGACACUUUCCUUCAGUUCGGCUGGAUCAGUGACAGGUG
Molecule: ribosomal RNA, 511 nt
Filed under: uncultured bacterium
Lineage: Bacteria
Description: bacterial SSU rRNA
Rfam family: Bacterial small subunit ribosomal RNA
Source: RNAcentral